AGAAUGAACGUUGGCGGCGUGGAUUAGGCAUGCAAGUCGGACGGGCCGCAAGGCCAGUGGCGCAAGGGUGAGUAAGGCGACGGUAACCAACCCCGUGGAUGGGCAUAGCCGAGGGAAACUUCGGGUAAUUCCCAGCGAAGUGGCGACCCGGCAUCGGGAGGCCACCAAAGAUUCAUCGCCACGGGACGGGCCGUUGUGGUAUUAGCUUGUUGGCGGGGUGACGGCCCACCAAGGCGGCGAUGCCUACCGGGCGUGCGAGCGUGGCCCGGCACACUGGGACUGAGACACUGCCCAGACUCCUACGGGAGGCUGCAGUCGAGAAUCUUCGGCAAUGGGCGCAAGCCUGACCGAGCGACGCCGCGUGGAGGAUGAAGGCCUUCGGGUUGUAAACUCCUGUCGAGGGGGAGGAAGGCGCAAGCUUGACCGAUCCCGUGGAGGAGCACGGGCUAAGUUCGCGCCAGCAGCCGC
RNAcentral lists this ribosomal RNA (468 nucleotides) under uncultured soil bacterium. Its description in RNAcentral is "bacterial SSU rRNA". It matches the Rfam family "Bacterial small subunit ribosomal RNA", at positions 26 to 518 of the family's 1533-position model. The record is from RNAcentral.